Molecule: long non-coding RNA, 340 nt
Organism: Leptinotarsa decemlineata (Colorado potato beetle)
Lineage: Eukaryota; Metazoa; Arthropoda; Insecta; Coleoptera; Chrysomelidae
Source: RefSeq, a predicted model, not a curated record
UUCUCGCAGUUUGAUUAUGUUUGAAAGUCGUGUAUUGAAUCCUCUCGUCUGAACGGGCAAGCACUACGGGUGAAAGUAAUAAAAUGUGCUCGUCGUCGACCAUCUCCACAGGUUCAUCUAUUUAUCGCAGACCAUCCCUUUGUUUUUGUUAUUCAAGAGAAGCAACAAGAAACCGUCAACAUAUUGUUCCAAGGUCACAUGAUUGAACCAAAAGUCUAACUGAAAACAAAAUUACUGCAAAUGGUCUGAUUAAGUUUGAAUUCCUUCUAUAACUAACACGUUUUCGGGUUUGCUAUCGUUUUGCUGUUUCUUACUCUAUAAUAAAAAGAAGAAUAAAGUG